AGCGCAUGUGCUGUGAGCUCGAUGAGUAGGGCGGGACACGUGGUAUCCUGUCUGAAUAUGGGGGGACCAUCCUCCAAGGCUAAAUACUCCUGACUGACCGAUAGUGAACCAGUACCGUGAGGGAAAGGCGAAAAGAACCCCGGCGAGGGGAGUGAAAAAGAACCUGAAACCGUGUACGUACAAGCAGUGGGAGCACCCUUUGGGGUGUGACUGCGUACCUUUUGUAUAAUGGGUCAGCGACUUAUAUUCUGUAGCAAGGUUAACCGUAUAGGGGAGCCGGAGGGAAACCGAGUCUUAACCGGGCGUUAAGUUGCAGGGUAUAGACCCGAAACCCGGUGAUCUAGCCAUGGGCAGGUUGAAGGUUGGGUAACACUAACUGGAGGACCGAACCGACUAAUGUUGAAAAAUUAGCGGAUGACCUGUGGCUGGGGGUGAAAGGCCAAUCAAACCGGGAGAUAGCUGGUUCUCCCCGAAAGCUAUUUAGGUAGCGCCUCGUGAAUUCAUCUCCGGGGGUAGAGCACUGUUUCGGCUAGGGGGCCAUCCCGGCUUACCAACCCGAUGCAAACUGCGAAUACCGGAGAAUGUUAUCACGGGAGACACACGGCGGGUGCUAACGUCCGUCGUGAAGAGGGAAACAACCCAGACCGCCAGCUAAGGUCCCAAAGUCAUGGUUAAGUGGGAAACGAUGUGGGAAGGCCCAGACAGCCAGGAUGUUGGCUUAGAAGCAGCCAUCAUUUAAAGAAAGCGUAAUAGCUCACUGGUCGAGUCGGCCUGCGCGGAAGAUGUAACGGGGCUAAACCAUGCACCGAAGCUGCGGCAGCGACACUCAGGUGUUGUUGGGUAGGGGAGCGUUCUGUAAGCCUGCGAAGGUGUGUCGUGAGGCAUGCUGGAGGUAUCAGAAGUGCGAAUGCUGACAUAAGUAACGAUAAAGCGGGUGAAAAGCCCGCUCGCCGGAAGACCAAGGGUUCCUGUCCAACGUUAAUCGGGGCAGGGUGAGUCGACCCCUAAGGCGAGGCCGAAAGGCGUAGUCGAUGGGAAACGGGUUAAUAUUCCCGUACUUGGUGUUACUGCGAAGGGGGGACGGAGAAGGCUAUGUUGGCCGGGCGACGGUUGUCCCGGUUUAAGCGUGUAGGUGUGUGUUCCAGGUAAAUCCGGUUCACUUUAACACUG
RNAcentral lists this ribosomal RNA (1170 nucleotides) under Salmonella enterica subsp. enterica serovar Oranienburg. RNAcentral's name for it is "partial 23S ribosomal RNA". It matches the Rfam family "Bacterial large subunit ribosomal RNA", at positions 387 to 1558 of the family's 2925-position model. Lineage: Bacteria; Pseudomonadati; Pseudomonadota; Gammaproteobacteria; Enterobacterales; Enterobacteriaceae. The record is from RNAcentral.